RNAcentral lists this ribosomal RNA (253 nucleotides) under uncultured bacterium. RNAcentral's name for it is "partial 16S ribosomal RNA". It matches the Rfam family "Bacterial small subunit ribosomal RNA", at positions 524 to 776 of the family's 1533-position model. The record is from RNAcentral.
UACGUAGGGUGCGAGCGUUAAUCGGAAUUACUGGGCGUAAAGCGUGCGCAGGCGGUUUUGUAAGACAGGCGUGAAAUCCCCGGGCUUAACCUGGGAAUUGCGCUUGUGACUGCGAGGCUAGAGUGCGUCAGAGGGGGGUAGAAUUCCACGUGUAGCAGUGAAAUGCGUAGAGAUGUGGAGGAAUACCGAUGGCGAAGGCAGCCCCCUGGGACGUGACUGACGCUCAUGCACGAAAGCGUGGGGAGCAAACAGG